CCUACGGGAGUCAGCAGUGAGGAAUAUUGGUCAAUGGGCGCGAGCCUGAACCAGCCAAGUCGCGUGAGGGAGGACGGCCCUACGUGUUGUAAACCUCUUUUGCCGGGGAGCAACGGGCGUCACGUCUGGCGCCACUGAGAUUAACCGGAGAAAAAGCAUCGGCUAACUCCGUGCCAGCAGCAGCGGUCAUGCGUGGGAUGCGAGCGUUAUACGGAUUUAUGGGGUUUAAAGGGUGCGUGGGCGGUUCGUUCAGUCAUGGGUCAAAUUGAGGGGAUCAACCCCUUCCCGACAUUGAAACUGGCGCUCUUGAGUGGAAGAGAAGUAUGCGGAAUGCGUGGUGUAGCGGUGAAAUGCGUAGAUAUCAGGAGGAACACCGGUGGCGAAGGCGGCCUGCUGGACUGCAACUGACGUUGAGGCCCGAAAGCGUGGGGAGCAAACAGGAUUAGAUACCCCAGUAGUC
RNAcentral lists this ribosomal RNA (460 nucleotides) under uncultured bacterium. RNAcentral describes it as "partial 16S ribosomal RNA". It matches the Rfam family "Bacterial small subunit ribosomal RNA", at positions 338 to 795 of the family's 1533-position model. The record is from RNAcentral.